Ananas comosus (pineapple) is the source of this 1151-nucleotide long non-coding RNA. RefSeq lists it as uncharacterized. The transcript is spliced from 2 exons. The record is from RefSeq and is a predicted model, not a curated record. NCBI's taxonomy places the organism in Eukaryota, Viridiplantae, Streptophyta, Magnoliopsida, Poales, Bromeliaceae.
UGGUUUUCGUAAUUGGUUUGGUAAUUGACUUGAUUGGGAGCGGGGAAGAAGAAUGUCUGUAGCAUGCAAUGAAUGUAUAGCCUUUUACUUUUUUUUUCAGCAGAGUAUGGUAAAUUAAUUAUGAUUAUGAUAAUUUGUCAAGUUUUGAAGUUGCAAUCACAAAAGAAAUUCUCUAUCAUUCACAAGGUUUGUCCAAUUAAGUCAUUCCAACAUUCAAAUUGGCCCUUAAAUGAGCCCACAUAUGUCUUAGGCUAUCUAUUGAAGUAUGCAUAUCCUACCUUUCACCCAUCCACCAUCCUUAUUCAGCGUACAGUGAAUAAACAUGAAUAGUCAACUUUGUUUGAUGUACGAUACUUUUCUUUAUACGUAUUGAAGUACUGAUACUUAUAUAAUAUUCAGAAAUAUAUUUAUACAUGUGUAAAUCAAACAUCACAUAUAUAGGAAAAUAACAUGAUGGUAUUAAAUAUAAUAAUAAAGGACAAGGUUUAAUUCUAGUUAUAUCCAUAUUCUAGUUGCUUCCGUGUGCUUCUUAUUGUGGAUACAUUGCAUGAGAUUAGAUGGUCAGCUUUGUUCUUAAUUAACUUAUUUACAUUACGAGUUGUGGAUAUCCCAGUAAUGUUUCUUUUCUUUCUGAAAUAUAAUAAGGUUUCUGCAGUCAAUGCUACAGGAAUGAAGUAACCAAUCUACCGCGCUUGCGAGUUGCAGUUCCUCUUCUCAGGUGUGAAUUCUCGAAUCUGUGGAUCAGAAAUCUGUGUAUGAAGAUUACAUAGUAAGAUCACAAUGGUAUAUUUGUCUAUAAUCAAAGUUUCAUCUUGCUGUCGCUGUUAUGAGGAAGAAAACUAAGAGAACAUGUGAGAAACACUAAGGUAGGGUAGUAUUUCCAUUUGCGAAAGCAAGUCGCUUUCGCGAGGACUUGUUAUGCAGAUCCAACAAAGGUUACAAAGCCAUUGCUUUCUCUUUAUGUAGUAUGUUAUGCGAAACUUCCGCGAUUCAUCUCGACAUGCUGACUCGUUCCGUGCCAUGUGCACAAUCCUUGAUGUAUGCUACAUGGAUGUUCAGUAUCUCUUUCUCUCUCAUUUCCUAAAGGAUGUAGAUAAUUGUUGUUUAUUUGUUGGAAUUAUUAUAAUAUUAUGAUAAACCUUCUUUUUGAA